This 237-nucleotide ribosomal RNA is filed under the name uncultured bacterium. Its description in RNAcentral is "partial 16S ribosomal RNA". It matches the Rfam family "Bacterial small subunit ribosomal RNA", at positions 15 to 244 of the family's 1533-position model. The record is from RNAcentral.
GAUCAUGCUCAGGAUGAACGCUAGCUACAGGCUUAACACAUGCAAGUCGCGGGGCAGCAUGAAGGAUGCUUGCAUCCUUUGAUGGCGACCGGCGCACGGGUGAGUAACGCGUAUCCAACCUGCCUGUUACCACGGCACAGCCCGUCGAAAGGCGGAUUAAUGCCGUAUGUGGUCCUUUGCGGGCAUCUAAUUAGGACUAAAGGUUCGGCGGUAACGGAUGGGGAUGCGUCCGAUUAG